CACAUCUAAAUUUUUAUGAUUUCAAAUUAAAAUAAUUUUAAUUUUUAAGAUUAGAUGUAAUUACUUUUCUUCAUAACUUGUAUCACAUACAACAAAUCUUAAGAUUUCAAGAUCUAAGAUUUUACAGAAAAGUAAAUUCUUCUUUUCAUUUUUUUCUUCAUGGGACCUCAUAAUGGCACCCCUACAUAUCAUAAGAGCACCACAUUGAAUCGGAGGAGAGGAUCAUAUAACCCUACUUGCUCCUA
RNAcentral lists this long non-coding RNA (245 nucleotides) under Elaeis guineensis (African oil palm). Its description in RNAcentral is "long non-coding RNA (EGUI_LNC007961)". Lineage: Eukaryota; Viridiplantae; Streptophyta; Magnoliopsida; Arecales; Arecaceae. The record is from RNAcentral.